Molecule: ribosomal RNA, 349 nt
Filed under: uncultured bacterium
Lineage: Bacteria
Description: bacterial SSU rRNA
Rfam family: Bacterial small subunit ribosomal RNA
Source: RNAcentral
AGAGUUUGAUCAUGGCUCAGGAUGAACGCUAGCUACAGGCUUAACACAUGCAAGUCGAGGGGCAGCAUGUUGGUUGCUUGCAACCAAUGAUGGCGACCGGCGCACGGGUGAGUAACGCGUAUCCAACCUACCCUUGUCCAUCGGAUAACCCGUCGAAAGGCGGCCUAACACGAUAUGCGGUUCACAGCAGGCAUCUAAGGUGAACGAAAUGUGAAGGAGAAGGAUGGGGAUGCGUCUGAUUAGCUUGUUGGCGGGGUAACGGCCACCAAGGCUACGAUCGAGUAGGGGUUCUGAGAGGAAGGUCCCCCACAUUGGGACUGAGACACGGUCCAAACUCCUACGGAAGGCA